AUGCGCCGGCUUACCAGAGAGUGUGUGUCAGAGCAUCAUCCUCUGUACAGCUCCUUCUGCCAGUUCCUCUCUGCAGCCUUUCUCGUUGUGGACCAGGGGGAUCUCGAGAGGCUGAAGGACGCUUACACCUUCUGUGGAAUCUCUCCUGCCAAUCCAACCAAGCAGCACAUGAGAGAUCACUGCAGGACACAGGUGCCACAGCCCAGAGAACUGCUGCAGAGAGUGGAAGACGUCCUCCAUCACUUCCACCUGGCAAAGGACAUGAAUGAUGUGCUCCUCUAUAAGGCCUCCAUGUUCAAGGUGUGGAGGAUUCAGCGGAUACACAUCUUAAGAGGCUGCUUGAGCGACCCUGAGGUGGAGGAGGGGAUCCUCUACAGAUACGGUGGCACCUUGCAGCUUAAUUACACCAAGGGCGAAGGAGCGGCUGUACCUGUUUGGAUCCCUGUUAGAGGCACGUCUCAGCAGGAGGGCUUCCACUGUCACCAGGCCCAGUGGGUGACUGGCAACCGGGUGUCCACUGAGCUCUUCCAGGCCCAGGCCAUGACUGGAGUGGUGCGCUGGAACUUUCAGAGGCUUGUGGACCUGAAGCAGCCUGGUGUGGAGCUGCCAGCUGUGUUUGACCCCCUGCUCAUUUGGGAACUGAACGCAGCCUGUCAAAGGGUGACAGGGGUGCGAAAAUACCCAGCUCUGCACAUCUCAAACAGGGACACAGGGGAGAGAUUCGGGCUGCAGUACGUGGAGCCAGGCUGUCGUCCUGUGGUUUUAAACUGGGACAAACACAGGACACAGCACAACACCUCUGCUGCUGUAACCGUGGCAACACAGCUGCACUCCUCUGCCCUGGAUGAAGUGCAGGACAUUGUUGCGGGCACAGACUCUCAGGAGACCAGUGAUGGCACUGUCCAGGACAACCCAGUGGGAGCAGUGCCGAUCCUCAGUUUCCAGCCACCUAUGCCAGCAUCUGCCACAGCCAAAGAAGAGCCUCACCCUUUGAUGGAUACAGGUUACCCACCUACCAUUCCUCAUGCACAACAGUUAACUGUUAAAAACAACUUCACACAUGGCUACUGUAUACAAUUAGCUUGUAAUAAUAAUAUAAACAAUAUAAUAAACAUAUGCUUUAUUCCUUAGACCUGCGAGGGGUAGCGCCACUGCCCAUAUCCUCCUCUCCUCGAGCCGCCCGCACUGGACCCAUUAAGACGGGAGGCCUGGUUCAAGUCCUGGACCACGGCCGGUGGACGGCCCCCAUGAGAGCAGCCAUCGAUGGGCUUCUGGCUAAACAUCAUGGAGCCAAAGCUCUUCUGAAGAGGGUGGAUGCGGAAUAUGCUGCCAUGGUGCAGAGGGCGUGCACGGAUCCCAACAGCCUCCUUCAUCCGACCACAGGCCAGCAUAUCUCCAGAUAUGUCAAGCAUCUGGCCAAGCUGAAAAACACCAGCUCCUCUCUCAACACCAGCCCAGAGAAGGUUUUAGAGACUCAGCAGCUGUGGCAGAGUUUGACCACAGGCAGCAAAACAGUGUGUGUACCCGUCACAGCCCUGCCUCCUGCGACCGUCAACCCUCCAGCUGUGGCUCCCCCCCCGGAGGAGUCACUGAGCCGGGCCACAGUGGAGAAGAUCGUGUCAGAGAUCCUCCAGAAACAGCAGCAACAACCAAGGCAGGAGAGAAAGGUGCCCAGAAACUGUUUGUCCUGUGGUCAGCCAAAGUCCAGGUACCUUGGCGAUGGAUCCACUGUUCACUUUUUUUUUCAGUCCCCUGAGGUGAAGUACUUUUACUGCUCCGAACGGGUCUUUAAAAUGUAUAGAGAGGAAGGCCUCAAAGACCCCAGGAUGUCUUUUGUGGACUUUGCUGCCUCCCCCUUUUUUGCCAGGGAGCUUGAGGCUGUAAAAGAGAGGAGUGCAGCGUGGAAGAAGGUGGCAGAGGAGAGGACAAAGCGAAAGUCUGCAGUGCAGCUUCCAACAGGUCGCCUGUGCAGAUUCUGUCACCAACCACUAAAGCAGGGUCCUGUCAGCCCUCAUGUCCAUGCCUGUUUCCCUGACAUCCCAGGGAAAUACAUAUACUGCCCCUCCAGAGUGUUGUCCCUUUACAAGGACAAGGGCAUGGUCAAGGAGAUGACCUGGAUGGAGUUCCAGCAGUCAGACUUUUUUGAGGCAGAAAGGGUCCGAUGGGUUUCAGAGAAGAGGAGUUGAGGAGGACUAAUAGUCCUCUUUUCUGAAAUGAAAUGAUUAGACCUUGACUAAUCAUUUCAUAAUAUCAUAUAUGUUUACACUUUCUAUUAAAUAUAUUCUGUACAUUUGUAUUGUUCCUUUGCUUAUAUAUUAUCUCAGUUUGGACUUUGGGUGUUUAAUAACUAAUAGUCCACUUUUCUAUAAUAUUGUAUAUGUUUACACUUUUUUGUAAAUAUAUUCUGUACAUUUGAAUUGUUCCUUUGCUUACAUAUUAUCUUGAUUUAUCUUCAAUAUCAGUUUGGACUUUGGGUGUUUAAUAACUAAUAGUCCUCUUUUCUAUAAUAUUGUAUAUGUUUACACUUUUUAGUAAAUAUGUUCUGUACAUUUGCAUUGUUCCUUUGCUUGCAUGUUAACUUUAUUUAUCUUCAAUGUCAGUUUGGAUUUUGGGUGUUUAAUUAUUCAGCUCGUGUUCAUGUAGAAUUAAAUAUGACACUUUCAUCGAAGGGCAGCAACUUGUUUCUGGAUUAUUUGCUUCGUGGAGCAUAUUGUGCCUUUCAUGCAUCAUUUAUAUAAUAUAAAUAUUUUUAAUGAUG
RNAcentral lists this long non-coding RNA (2758 nucleotides) under Gadus morhua (Atlantic cod). RNAcentral's name for it is "lncRNA (ENSGMOG00000032203.1)". Lineage: Eukaryota; Metazoa; Chordata; Actinopteri; Gadiformes; Gadidae. The record is from RNAcentral.